CCCCCCCCCCCCACACACACACACACCUCUGAUUGGGGGGGUUGGGUUCAAUGCGGAAGACACAUUUCGGUUGAAUGCAUUGUUGUGCAACUGAUUAGGUAUAACCUUUCCCUACAACCAUUUUUCAAAUCUUGAGGUAGAUUUUCAAGCACAUUUAAGUCAACUGUAACUCGGCCACUGUCUUUUCUUAGUAAGCAACUCCAAGUGUAGAUUUGUCCUUGUUUUAGGUUGUUGUCCUGGUGAAAAAUGAAUCUUCCAGUGUCUGGAAAGCAGACUGAACCAGGUUUUCCUCUUAAGAUUUUGUCUGUGCUUAGCUCCAAUCCGUUUAUUUUAACCCUGUAACUCCCCAGUCCUUAGCGAUUACAAGCAUAUCCAUAAUAUGAUGCAGCUUCCACUAUGCUUGAAAAUAUGGAGAGUGGUACUUGGUAUUGUGUUCUAUUGGAUUUGCCCCAAACACACUGUAUUCUGGACAAAAAGUGAAUUGCUUUGUCACAUUUUUUGCAGUAUUACUUUAGUGGCUUGUUGUAAACAGGAUGCAUGUUUUGGAAUAUUUUUAUUCUGUACAGUCUUCCUCCUUUUCACUCUGUCAUUUAGGUUAGUAUUGUGGAGUAACUACAAUGUUGUUGAUCCAUCUUCAGUUUUCUCCUAUCACAGCUGUUAAACUCGUAACUGUUUUAAAGUCACCAUUGGCCUCGUGGUGAAAUCCCACAGCGGUUAGUUUCCUUCCACUCCGGCUACUGAGUUGGGAAGGACGCCUGUAUCUUUGUAGUGGCUGGGUGUAUUGAUACACCAUCCAAAGUGCAAUUAAUGACUUCACCAUGCUCAAAGGGAUAUUCAAUGUCUGCUUUUUUUAUUUUUACCCAUCUACUAAUAGGUACCCUUUGCGAGGUAUUGGAAAACCUCCCUGGUCAAUGUGGUUGAACCUGUGUUUGAAAUUCACUGCUCGACUGAGGGACCUUACAGAUACUUGUAUGUAUGGGGUACAGAGAUGAGGUAGUCAUUCAAAAAUCAUGUUUAACACUAUUAUUGCACACUGAGUCCAUGCAACUUAUUAUGUGACUUGUGAAGCACAUAUUUACUCCUAAACUUAUUUAGGCUUGACAUAAAGGGAUUGAAUUCUUAUUGACUCAAGACAGUUUAGCUUUACAUUUUUAAUUUGUAAAAAAAUAUAUAUAAAAAUACAUCUAAACAUAAUUCCACUUUGACAUUGGGGACUAUUGCGUGUAGGCCAGUGACCAAAAAAAGCAACAUUUAAUCAUUUUAUGUUCAGUCUGUAACACAACAAUAUUUUGAAAAAGUCAAGGGGAAUGAAUACUUACUGAAGGCACUGUAUUUAGCCCCUUGGCAUGCGUAUUUGGAUUGGACUGAGUUUGAACCCCCCCCAACUACACACACACACACGAUCUGUCUUCUUUGCUAUGCAGUGUAAUGGGCUUGAACUGAAGGCUUGCUCCUGGCUUUAUCCUCUUGACCCCUCAAAUGUAGCAGAUAAUGAAGAAAGGUGCAAAAUGUAACAAUGUUGUUCUGUAUUUUCCAACAGGCUACAUUACUUAGGUGAGGUGACCGGAAAAGAAGCAGCAGGUUUACCUCCUAUAUCUGCUCAGCCAAGCUCUGCCACAUGAAGAGAUGUACAGUAGACAAGGAAAAAUCAUGUGGAAAGGGAAGGAGGAGACUGGGUGGGUCAAACCGUUCUUGUCAAAAUACUUCCCAGCAGGAUUAUAUGGUUUGGCUAUUUUUGAAGUGUAAAGCAUUGAGGUUUUAUGUAGGUAUUUUGAUUUUCCCUGUACCGAUAGGGUGUUUUUAAAGAUUUAACUGCCACCAAAUCCAGAUCAAUCAACCGCUUUUCAGUUCAGUUUUUUUUACAUGGUCUAUUUUGGUUGAUGGGUUCCUGUUGAUUGUCUUACAUGAGAUGAGCACUCAACAACUGAGUAGAUGGUACGAAGUGUUAUUGAUGAUUCUUCAAUGAUCAGAGUACUUACGCUAUGUUCAUAUUCAGUAUCAAAGCAGGUGUCAUUGUUUACAAAGUUUAUUUUCAUUUAGAUUAUUUACUGCCAUGCCUAUGGUGAAAAUAAAGGUCAAAGGCCUUUUUGCUUCGGGGCCGCCGAGUUGGUUUCUCCCCAUAAGAUUAGCCUUGUUGCCAAUGGACAAAAUAAAAGUUUUCUUAAAGGCUUCUCUGUUGGCUCAUAGCUUCACAAUCAAUUGGAGUCUAGUUUACACACACAACUUGACUAGCCAAUCAUUUGGAGGAGCCAGCUGAGAGGGAGAGAAGUAGCAAGAUCCCCGCCAGUGAAGCAGGGGACAGCAGCAGUCUGAGUACAGAUGAUUGCUCUUGUAAGACUAGCGAGAGGUAGCUCGAGAAAGGAAGGGGUAUUUUAUACCAUGCUGAUAGGUAAGAUAUUUUUGAUCAACUUGUAUGUGUAACACUCACCUUUUGUAUAUAUGUUAGCAGUCCAUGUCACCUCUCAGGGCAAAUGAACUCACAUGGACUCCAUAGGAGUUUUAUUCCAGCAAAAUUAUUUAUUCUUAGAAAAGGAGGGCUAUAGCAGUGUUUUGGGAUGCCAAAAUAACUGAAUGAUGCCAACCUUGACUGCUACCCUUGUACCGUUGCAUUUAUGACAACAUAAGUGGCCCAAUGUCCUCAACAUUUAUCACUAGAUCUGGCAUUUGUAGUGCAUAAAAAUCUAGAAUAAAAUCACUCAUUGUUUUAAUGUUUACGUACUUUCUCUAUUUCUCUUUUCAUUUUCAGGGCUGUAAGAUGUCUGCUCCAGUGCACCUAAUCUUGCACCUCUCAUCCCUACACCUGUACUGGGAUGACCGGCAGUUGCAGGACCAAUCUUGACACCAUGGUGUCAUUUUAAAUGAACAGAAGGGACACAACGGGAAUGCUGCUGGACAGUUAUAUUUAAACUUUUGUACUAACUUUCAAUAAAUGUAGAUUAUUUUUUUAAGCGUGUGUCUUUAUUGUAUAAGCUUUGCUAUUAAGAUCAGGUAUGUUUCUAAAACAAGUAUUGUUUGUAUGUGGUGUAGCGGCAGUUCAUUCUGUAUUGUCAACUGUACAUGGUACAGAUACUAUUUUUACUUGAUUGAGAGUGUUAGACAUUUAUUUUUAUCUCCUUCAAUUUACUGAAUGUCAAAUUCCUGUUUAGGGGGUUUAACGGAAGUGGAGUAAUGAGGUGUAGAGUACCUGUCAUGUUUUCUGACAGAGGAGGCAUGAUGUUGGGAAGAAAUGCAAGAUAAGUAGGAAACCAUGCCAUGGCUCAUAACCUGGCAAGUUCAGCAGUUACCUACAGAACUACUGACACACCAGUAGGCAUACUGAAUUGUUUUAGUACAGCCUAGGCAGUUUUAUUAAUACAUAAGUAAUGUGUUCUGUGUUGUAAGGGCAUCAUUCUACCAAGGAGUCUAGACCUUUAUAAUAGUCUGCUUGCCUUGCUACCAGGGUUGUGGUUCAACGCCUCCAGCUCUCCCUUCCUACUACAUUGGUAACAGUAUAUGGCAUUGAUAAGGGAAUUUAUGUUUAUGGUAAUGACUAAAGAAUUCUACCCUGAAAUGCAAUUAUUAGAUUAUAAAAAAAUAUAUAUAUAUAUAAAAUGAAUAAUUAGACAAAUGUAAUUAUUAGAUUAUGUAACAUGUAUAAUGAAUUAGAGCGAUAAACUUCAGUCCAAUAAGGUUUGGUCAAGACAAGUAGAAGUGUGUGACUAAGAAAACACAGAGAACAAUUAAAAUAUGCAUGACGUGACCUGGUUAGAACUCUGGGAAAUUUACGACAGGAAAGGGAGUCGUGUCAAGGUCCCUCGUACAGGUUGGACUGUGCUGUAAGCCACAGAAUGAGACAUUUGUAACACUGUUUGUUUCCAUAGAGGUCCUAAUGUGUGUUUAAGCUCUCGUGUCUUCCUGCAGGUAAAAUGUAGGGCGGUGGGCCUUGCUGGAGAACAUGGAGGGCCUGUUCCUGGCAGUGGGUGAGAUUGUGGAUGGGUGUAUGCAGAGAACUCUCCUCACCCCAAAGCAGGGGUCUCUGUAUUCUCAUCACAACAGUGCCCUCUGACUCUGGCCAAAUCAACUUUUCCAUCUAGAAUAUAGGACAAUGGUAGAAGACAUGGCUGGACACUCAUACCUGGAUACUGUCCACGGCUACCCCAUCACACCAUGGGGUAGCCAAGAUAUAGGAAGACCGGAAACAAUUUGUUGGCUACCUACCACAGAGUUUACCAGUUAAAUACUCUGUUACAUAAGUUUAGGUUUCUGUGACUGGAUUGGUUCUCAGGCCAAUAUAAAUCAACCGUCCUACUAGUCUCCACCCCUAGACAAUACAAUAGCUCCUCAAUGUAAGGUUGUUUAGGGUAAGGGAGGAAGCCCAUUUUCUAAGCAUUUAGAUGUCAGUCAUUGAGAGUGAUAUGUCUUCCAUAGUCAUCCUCAGUGUAAGGCACCUGAUGCUCUUCCUCCUCAGUCAAACACCAUGGUUCUGUUUUCACUGAGUACUGUGCAUCCCGGAUGUCGACAACAUUAAAAUCAUCUGCACUGUUUCCCUCCCCCUUUUAUUUUCACGUUUACAGGGGAGAUGAUGUUCCUCUAACAAAACACACUGUGUCUCAGGUAAUUGCACUUAUUUACGACAAUCUAAUAUUUACUCAAACUUAUUAAAAUUGUAUUACAUUUCUUAUACUUCUGUAAUACUGGUAUUUAAACAUGUGUAUUUGAUAGUAAUGCGAUUUGGAUAUUAGCGAACAACAUGGUCAAGUGCUGACUGGGUGGUUUGUCAGGCUGACAAUCUUAAGCACAUUUCUAAUGCUUCCUGCUUUUUUUAUCCCUGAAAAGCCCUAAUUGUUCUGUUGGCUAUUUCAAAAAUGAUUUAAUUUCUCUCCAGCAUUAUAUUAAGCUAUUACAUGUAGUUUUAUUGUAUUGAAGAGAACAAAGGGGAGCAUUCCCAGUGUAGCUGUUAAUGAGGCUCUACUGUUAGCUAGCUGGCGUUGCUCUAUACUUGGCAGACUCUCUGAGUGCCAUGCUGAUGGAGGCUCCCAUCUGAGAGGCAUUUUACAGGCUGCAGAUGUCUGCCUCAUCCACUCUGUGCAUUAAUCUUCAUCGCCAACCCUCGGCCCGCAUGCCUCAUGGUUACUGAUAGACUUUUGUCUGCAUAAUUAAAAUGAUUAAUUUAUGUAUUGUUCCUGUAAAGUAGUAUUACUGGUUGUAAUCACACCACCACCUUUCCCUUAAAUAUCACAGUUAGAAACUUCUGUUAUUGUUUCAUACUGUAUGUUAAAGAAAAUUCUAUCUGUAGUUGAGGUGAUGGACAUUACCUAACUAUAGGUUUACCCUUAUGUUUGUUGCUAAUGAAUUGCAUCUGCAGGAUGAGGGACACUUAACCAAACUGAGUGCUUCAGUCUGCAAAAGAACAGAUGAAAUGGUCCCUACUGCGAUAAGAGUUGUCUGCCGUUACAUUUGCACCAUCACUUCCUCAUCUGAUGAUAUUCCUCUUCCUAUCCCUGUGUGUCCCAGAGAUUAUUGUACUGAAGUCUGAUUGAGCCACCAAUCAGAACCACCACUGUGGCCUUUCUAUCCUCCAUUUCCUGUGUCUCAUCGCCCAGGCAACAGUGAAGACUUAAUUUAUCUGUUUCCAUAAAUGGACACAUCCUUACUGUCUCUGGCUAGAGGUGAUCCCAAC
Molecule: long non-coding RNA, 5659 nt
Organism: Oncorhynchus tshawytscha (Chinook salmon)
Lineage: Eukaryota; Metazoa; Chordata; Actinopteri; Salmoniformes; Salmonidae
Source: Ensembl